GAUGAACGCUGGCGGCGUGCUUAACACAUGCAAGUCGAACGGAAAGGCCCAAGCUUGCUUGGGUACUCGAGUGGCGAACGGGUGGGUAACACGUGGGUGAUCUGCCCUGCACUUCGGGAUAAGCCUGGGAAACUGGGUCUAAUACCGGAUAGGACCACAUUUUGGAUGGUGUGGUGGAAAGUUUUUCGGUGUGGGAUGAGCUCGCGGCCUAUCAGCUUGUUGGUGGGGUAAUGGCCUACCAAGGCGUCGACGGGUAGCCGGCCUGAGAGGGUGUACGGCCACAUUGGGACUGAGAUACGGCCCAGACUCCUACGGGAGGCAGCAGUGGGGAAUAUUGCACAAUGGGCGCAAGCCUGAUGCAGCGACGCCGCGUGGGGGAUGACGGCCUUCGGGUUGUAAACUCCUUUCGCUAGGGACGAAGCGUUUUUGUGACGGUACCUGGAGAAGAAGCACCGGCUAACUACGUG
This 467-nucleotide ribosomal RNA is filed under the name uncultured bacterium. Its description in RNAcentral is "partial 16S ribosomal RNA". It matches the Rfam family "Bacterial small subunit ribosomal RNA", at positions 28 to 507 of the family's 1533-position model. The record is from RNAcentral.